Heterocephalus glaber (naked mole-rat) is the source of this 519-nucleotide long non-coding RNA. NCBI's taxonomy places the organism in Eukaryota, Metazoa, Chordata, Mammalia, Rodentia, Bathyergidae. The record is from Ensembl.
ACUAGAUCUUGAGAGAAGGGCAGCGAGGGGCCAGCGGAAAUCUAGCCCAGGAGAUGGAGGUGUGAAGACACAGAGUGAAUGAACCGCGAGCUAUCAUGAGGUAAACAGCUUCCUCUGCACAUGCUCCCAUCAUCAUGUGCUGCCUCACCACAGGCCCCAAAACAACAGGACCAACUGACCAUGGACUGAACCUCUGACACUGACAGAACCUGGAAUGAGUCUUACUGAUCCCAUCACAGAAUGGAAGUGGGGUAGGCUGCACCUUGAGCCCUGGGGAGAGCAGAGGGACAGAAAAUGAAGAAGAGAAGAAAACAAGGAUGAGAAGGAGAUCAAGGUUUGUGUUGGAAGGAAAGAACACCUCCUGAAGAAAGCAAGGAAAUGAUUUGUAUCAUCCUCUGGGCUUUAAGUGUUUUUAUGAUAUCCCUGAAAUAAGAACUAAGUAACUCUAGCAGUGGGUGACACUACAGUGAGGCAGAACAAGAUUGUGUGUGUGUGUGUGUGUGUGUGUGUGUGUGUGUG